This 523-nucleotide ribosomal RNA is filed under the name uncultured bacterium. RNAcentral describes it as "partial 16S ribosomal RNA". It matches the Rfam family "Bacterial small subunit ribosomal RNA", at positions 28 to 523 of the family's 1533-position model. The record is from RNAcentral.
GACGAACGCUGGCGGCGUGCCUAAUACAUGCAAGUCGAACGCUUUUUCUUUCACCGGAGCUUGCUCCACCGAAAGAAAAGGAGUGGCGAACGGGUGAGUAACACGUGGGUAACCUGCCCAUCAGAAGGGGAUAACACUUGGAAACAGGUGCUAAUACCGUAUAACAGUCGAAACCGCAUGGUUUCGAUUUGAAAGGCGCUUUUGCGUCACUGAUGGAUGGACCCGCGGUGCAUUAGCUAGUUGGUGAGGUAACGGCUCACCAAGGCAACGAUGCAUAGCCGACCUGAGAGGGUGAUCGGCCACAUUGGGACUGAGACACGGCCCAAACUCCUACGGGAGGCAGCAGUAGGGAAUCUUCGGCAAUGGACGAAAGUCUGACCGAGCAACGCCGCGUGAGUGAAGAAGGUUUUCGGAUCGUAAAACUCUGUUGUUAGAGAAGAACAAGGAUGAGAGUAAAAAGUUCAUCCCUUGACGGUAUCUAACCAGAAAGCCACGGCUAACUACGUGCCAGCAGCCGCGGUAA